AAGUCGUAACAAGGUUUCCGUAGGUGAACCUGCGGAAGGAUCAUUAACACGUGGUUAUCCAUGUUCAACCCCUCGUGCUUUGGUGCGUUUGGCCUCAACCCUAUUUUGUGAAUGGAGAUUUUGUUAGGAUGAACUUGGUUUCCAAGGGAAUGGCUUGUGUAACAGUUGAGGUUGCGAAGUACAAGUAAUUUCGACAGUGAGAAGCUUUCCAUCCUAUUGCAGUUUCCAUUUAAAAGACAAUUGAUUCAAAAAAAACCCCGUAGUUAACUUAUUUCUAACUGAAAACUUAAUUGCUCUUUCUGACUUAACGGUUUGAAAUCAAUUAUUUUACGAAACAUUUGACAACUCUUAACAACGGAUAUCUUGGUUCUC
Molecule: unclassified non-coding RNA, 372 nt
Filed under: fungal sp.
Lineage: Eukaryota; Fungi
Description: partial internal transcribed spacer region
Rfam family: Eukaryotic small subunit ribosomal RNA (bases 1-46)
Source: RNAcentral